Molecule: long non-coding RNA, 1648 nt
Filed under: Venturia canescens
Lineage: Eukaryota; Metazoa; Arthropoda; Insecta; Hymenoptera; Ichneumonidae
Description: uncharacterized LOC122418895
Source: RNAcentral
AUCUCUACGACGAUGGAAAACGUUGAAAGCAGUGGCCAACGUUUGGACUGUCAAUUUUCGAGGUUUCGAAUCUUCAGGUCGUAUUUUCAUGUCCGAUUUAAAGCCAACUGGAGGCAUUAAGUACUGAGCUUCACAAUACCGUAGGAUGUGUGCAAUUGAGGCGAACAAUGCAGAAGACUGUCGAUGGUAGGUCCGAUACAUCAAGUACACAUUACGAUUUGAAGCUGCAGAGGAAAAGGGAGGUGAAAAGAAGAAACCGAAGAUUGUUGACUUUCGCCGUUGCGGCCGAUUGAAAUGAUCGGAGCUCGUUAAGACGCUUCCACUUUAGACGAUAGCACGUUGCCGCCUCUGGUGAGGAAACGAGGGUUCGACAUGGGAAGCAAUGCUUGUCAGGAUGGUUCUAUGGGUUUGUGACUAUAAUCUCGAAAGCAGCAGUCAAUCGUGAAUCCAGUCGAAACCAAUUGGCACGCGGUCGAAUUCUCAUUGACUUAUCAGCUUCAGAGAGCCUCUUCAGAGAGAUCGCAGAAAAAGAUCAUUGAGUAUUCGACACAAUAUUACGUCCUUAAAGCGCGUCGGUUGAACUUACCAUUUUUUUAGAUGAAAAUUCGCAGCACUCUACCGACAAUUGGCAUGAGAUUGUCGUCAAUUGGCAUCGAUUUUGAAUUGCGUUACAUUAAAGCCCAUAAACUUUCAGUUCCCAUAUUACAGAUCAGUAAUCACUGAAAAACACAUCGAAGAAUCACAGUUUUCGAAAUUUUACAUGCUUCCAACAGAAACUCAGUUGCAAUGUAGCCCGUUGGAUUCUGCAGUAUUCUUCGGUCGACGAACCAAAGUAAUGCAACAGUUUGAAAAAUCGGUUCCAAGCAGUGCUAUCGGAGUCACUCGCGUGUUACACACAAUAGGAAAAAACCGGUUUGAGAGCGAUGAAAUAUGCUCAAGAGCAAAAAGUUCAAAUAAAAGCCCGGAAGAGUACACGCGGUAUUGUAGAAACGGAAUUUUUUUAUGUUCUCGAUGUAUAAGGAACAAGGAAUUUUCCCCUUAUUAGAGUAGAAUGUAUUACAGGGCAUCUCUUGGGUAGGCUCUUCCGACGUUUGCCAACGAGGGCAAAAACGCUAUCUCGCGGGUGCUCGAACUCCACAGGUGGCCACGGGCUCAAUUACCGGUCGUUCGAGUGGAGAGUACACCGUGCAGCAGUGUAAAAUUCAAACACAGGCUCGAAGAUAAUGCAUGCACUAUUAGAUGCUCGAUGAAUAUUUAACGCGUUGAAUAAAAUCGAUUGGGAAAUUUUUGUAGUUUUACAAUGAUUUCGAGUAUCCUGAGUCAAGUUAUUUGUUCCCUUUUUCCAGUAAAUAUCGUACUUUUUUAUCGAGCAUGGAGAGCACGAUCGUCAAGGUUUUUUCAAAUCAAAGAUCAUUCAAACUUUUCAUACUCCUAAUGCAAGGAAAAUCAAGAUUGAAAGGCAAACUUUUGCAGCUUUUUCUUUCCUUACCUAUUAAAAAUGUCAAAUUUAUUCAUUCCUGUAGUUUAUUCGGAAAGUAUUUCUAACGAUGAAGAUGAAAUAAAAUUGAGUCAUUCCGUUUCAAGCAUGUUUACAAAGAAUUUUUCUUCCCUCCAUCAAACAUUUUAACACCGUCAAUUCUUUUUUCAU